UACGUAGGGUGCGAGCGUUGUCCGGAUUUAUUGGGCGUAAAGAGCUCGUAGGCGGUUUGUCGCGUCGGCCGUGAAAUCUCCCCGCUUAACGUGGAGCGUGCGGUCGAUACGGGCAGACUUGAGUUCGGUAGGGGAGACUGGAAUUCCUGGUGUAGCGGUGAAAUGCGCAGAUAUCAGGAGGAACACCGGUGGCGAAGGCGGGUCUCUGGGCCGAUACUGACGCUGAGGAGCGAAAGCGUGGGGAGCGAACAGG
RNAcentral lists this ribosomal RNA (253 nucleotides) under uncultured bacterium. RNAcentral's name for it is "partial 16S ribosomal RNA". It matches the Rfam family "Bacterial small subunit ribosomal RNA", at positions 524 to 776 of the family's 1533-position model. The record is from RNAcentral.